RNAcentral lists this ribosomal RNA (467 nucleotides) under uncultured bacterium. RNAcentral describes it as "partial 16S ribosomal RNA". It matches the Rfam family "Bacterial small subunit ribosomal RNA", at positions 28 to 507 of the family's 1533-position model. The record is from RNAcentral.
GACGAACGCUGGCGGCGUGCUUAACACAUGCAAGUCGAACGGAAAGGCUCCAGCUUGCUGGAGUACUCGAGUGGCGAACGGGUGAGUAACACGUGGGUAAUCUGCCCUGCACUCUGGGAUAAGCCUGGGAAACUGGGUCUAAUACUGGAUAUGACCUUUCUCCUUAUGGGGUUUGGUGGAAAGUUUUUCGGUGUAGGAUGAGCCCGCGGCCUAUCAGCUUGUUGGUGGGGUGAUGGCCUACCAAGGCGACGACGGGUAGCCCGCCUGAGAGGGUGAUCGGCCACAUUGGGACUGAGAUACGGCCCAGACUCCUACGGGAGGCAGCAGUGGGGAAUAUUGCACAAUGGGCGGAAGCCUGAUGCAGCGACGCCGCGUGAGGGAUGACGGCCUUCGGGUUGUAAACCUCUUUCAGCAGGGACGAAGCGUAAGUGACGGUACCUGCAGAAGAAGCACCGGCUAACUAUGUG